GACGUAGGGCGCGAGCGUUGUCCGGAUUUAUUGGGCGUAAAGAGCUCGUAGGCGGCUUGUUGCGUCGACCGUGAAAACCCGUGGCUCAACUGCGGGCUUGCGGUCGAUACGGGCAGGCUAGAGUUCGGUAGGGGAGACUGGAAUUCCUGGUGUAGCGGUGAAAUGCGCAGAUAUCAGGAGGAACACCGGUGGCGAAGGCGGGUCUCUGGGCCGAUAUUGACGCUGAGGAGCGAAAGCGUGGGGAGCAAACAGG
RNAcentral lists this ribosomal RNA (253 nucleotides) under uncultured bacterium. RNAcentral describes it as "partial 16S ribosomal RNA". It matches the Rfam family "Bacterial small subunit ribosomal RNA", at positions 524 to 776 of the family's 1533-position model. The record is from RNAcentral.